GCCCUGUUAGCUCAGUUGGUAGAGCAGCUCCCUUUUAAGGAGAUGGUCGCAGGUUCGACUCCUGCACGGGGCACAA
RNAcentral lists this transfer RNA (76 nucleotides) under Candidatus Vogelbacteria bacterium RIFOXYD1_FULL_44_32. RNAcentral describes it as "tRNA-Lys". It matches the Rfam family "tRNA". From Rfam's summary of the family: Transfer RNA (tRNA) molecules are approximately 80 nucleotides in length. Their secondary structure includes four short double-helical elements and three loops (D, anti-codon, and T loops). Lineage: Bacteria; Candidatus Vogeliibacteriota. The record is from RNAcentral.